Molecule: long non-coding RNA, 434 nt
Organism: Hyaena hyaena (striped hyena)
Lineage: Eukaryota; Metazoa; Chordata; Mammalia; Carnivora; Hyaenidae
Exons: 3
Source: RefSeq, a predicted model, not a curated record
AGAAGUUUAGAGGAACUUCAAGGAAAUUAUGCCAAAUGAAAAGAGAAAAUCUGAAAAGGAUACAUAGUGGAUGAUUCCACUUAUUUAAGAUUGAUCAUUUGCUUGUGGGGAAAUCAAAUGCAACACUGUGAGGUUUCUCAAAAAGGUCAGUGGAGAGGUCCAUGUGGUGAAAAACUGAGGCCUUUUGCCCAAGCCCAUUUGGAAGUAAAUCCUUCAGGUCCCAUCAAGCCUUCAGAUGACUGUGGCCUCAGCUGAUAUCUUGACUACAUACAACCUCAUGAGAGACCUUGGGCCAGAAGAACCCAAUACAUCUCACAGAGGAAGUUUUUAAAAGAUACAUGCCAACUAGAUGAUCUGCCCAUGAUGAAGCUGUUCAAACUUUGCAGCAUUGAUUCAAUACCAUUUUAAGGACUUUGAAAUAUAUUUUCAAAUAG